RNAcentral lists this long non-coding RNA (1602 nucleotides) under Amphibalanus amphitrite. RNAcentral describes it as "uncharacterized LOC122377568". The record is from RNAcentral. Lineage: Eukaryota; Metazoa; Arthropoda; Thecostraca; Balanomorpha; Balanidae.
ACACGGCUGCUGACGUCACUAUCAUAUAGUUGUGAGCUUUUUGGCAGGUAUGGGAAACACCUUCCAGCCCUAAGGCCGGGAAUUCAAUAAAUGUCACCUCGCUUUUUUAGCAAAAUCACCUCGGGCCUAACGGCCCAAUCAUCCCGGCCCCGGGCAGGAAUAUAUUUUCUCGAAAUUGCAUCAGUUUCCGUUUGUACGUUUAUAAUUGUACCAAGCGAAAUGAAUGAGCUGCAUUGAACACAGACAAGAGUCGUGAACAAGAGACAAACGACAAUUUUGGACGAGGGACAAACGAAGAUCGCUGACCAGAGACGGACGGCCACUGGCAGACAGAGACUGUGCUGUGAGAACGGUACGGAACCGAUGUGCGGAGACGAAAUACAGUAUUGUUCAGGCAGUCCGGACAAAACAACGGAGAGACGGGCUGUGAUCUCUGUACAGAACGUCGUCAUAUCCGAAGCUCAGCGGAGAGCCGGAACGUCGUGCCGCAGAUAGUCGGCUUUCGUCAUACAUCCACGGAAAUGCAAAGCAAAUACGAACAAGACCGCUAAAGCUUCGCAUUCAGGGUACCAAAGUGGUGCAGAAUGCAAAAAGAAGACUAUCAAGUAUGAUUGAGAUUCAUAGACAUCCCCAACGAAAAAGUGACAGCAUGCCACCACCGCGGCGUGGCCGUCUACCGGCCGGCCAGCAGCCCGCUGCCCCGUCUCCGGCACCCUCCGUCCCUGUCCGCUGAGAGCCCCGGUGUCGCGGCCCUGCCGUCAUCCAUCGUCCGCCCGACCCCCGAGAGGCGCGGUGACACUGCACUCAGCCGGGCCAUCCAUCCGGCCCGGCGGACCGCCGACUUAACUCGGCGCAACAACCCGGACGCUAAGUACCGCGUCUCCAUCUCGGAGAAGAGCGGGUGCGGCUCCAGACCACUGCCCUCCGCAUCCUCCUCGCCCAGGAUGAACUGGACACGCUGUGACGGCGGAGUGACUGCAGGUGUAGGGACUUCAGCGGCCAGUAUGGGGAUGAAGAAGGUGGCCCCGUGAAGCAGCUGAGAGUAAUUGGUAACGUUCGACCGACGUCGGCUGGUAACGUUCGACCGACGUCGGCUGGUAACGCUCGACCGAGGCCACUGGUAACGCUCAACUGAAAACGGCCGGUGAUAAUCGACCGGGCGUUCGACCAAGACAGCCGAUCUUGUUCAGCUGGUCUUGGUAAUGCUCGAAACGGACUGACUGACUGGUUAUAUUCGACCAGGAAUAACUGGUAAUGAUCGACCGGGACCAACUGGUAAUACUCGUCCGAUAACGACGACCAUUACCGACCGGUAACUCUGUCCUGGGACCGGCCGGGCGGCAGCCGCACGUGCGGCGCCCUGUCAGGUCACACAGUCCCCAGUCCGGUGACAGCCGACAGGCCGACAUGUCAUGACACACGUGAGCACCACGUGGCAUGGAGGAAAACUGGGACGGGCAGCGGGGCUGUCAGCCCGUCCCGUGCGAUGUGGCCCGAGCCAUAAAUCCGUGGGAACUAUGGAAAUCGCUCCAUCCUUGCAUGUAGGCUUUUUAAACUAUCAUGGAGUUAUAUAGAGGUAAAAAAUCUGUCGUUUCGCUGGUU